This is a small nucleolar RNA of Lepus europaeus (European hare), 143 nucleotides long. RefSeq annotates it as small nucleolar RNA SNORA46. The record is from RefSeq and is a predicted model, not a curated record. The transcript has a single exon. Lineage: Eukaryota; Metazoa; Chordata; Mammalia; Lagomorpha; Leporidae.
UGCACAGUGGAAUUAUCUAGGGUUUAAAAAAACUCCAUUCCUUAUUCUUGUUUAGGCUACAGUGCUAAAGAAUUCCUGGCUCCAUUUAUUGCACAUCUGACUUGUCCCAUUCUGCUGUUGCUUUAUGGAGUUAAGGAACAUUG